RNAcentral lists this ribosomal RNA (566 nucleotides) under Meyerozyma guilliermondii. Its description in RNAcentral is "partial large subunit ribosomal RNA". It matches the Rfam family "Eukaryotic large subunit ribosomal RNA", at positions 77 to 659 of the family's 3401-position model. The record is from RNAcentral. Lineage: Eukaryota; Fungi; Ascomycota; Pichiomycetes; Serinales; Debaryomycetaceae.
GCCUUAGUAGCGGCGAGUGAAGCGGCAAAAGCUCAAAUUUGAAAUCUGGCACCUUCGGUGUCCGAGUUGUAAUUUAAGCGUUGUAACCUUGGGGUUGGCUCUUGUCUAUGUUUCUUGGAACAGGACGUCACAGAGGGUGAGAAUCCCGUGCGAUGAGAUGCCCAAUCCUAUGUAAGGUGCUUUCGAAGAGUCGAGUUGUUUGGGAAUGCAGCUCUAAGUGGGUGGUAAAUUCCAUCUAAAGCUAAAUAUUGGCGAGAGACCGAUAGCGAACAAGUACAGUGAUGGAAAGAUGAAAAGAACUUUGAAAAGAGAGUGAAAAAGUACGUGAAAUUGUUGAAAGGGAAGGGUUUGAGAUCAGACUCGAUAUUUUGUGAGCCUUGCCUUCGUGGCGGGGUGACCCGCAGCUUAUCGGGCCAGCAUCGGUUUGGGCGGUAGGAUAAUGGCGUAGGAAUGUGACUUUGCUUCUGUGAAUUGUUAUAGCCUGCGUUGAUGCUGCCUGCCUAGACCGAGGACUGCGAUUUUAUCAAGGAUGCUGGCAUAAUGAUCCCAAACCGCCCGUCUUGAAA